AUUGAACGCUGGCGGCAGGCCUAACACAUGCAAGUCGAGCGGAAACGAUCCUAGCUUGCUAGGAGGCGUCGAGCGGCGGACGGGUGAGUAACGCGUGAGAAUCUACCCAUGAGUGGGGGACAACCCGGGGGAAACUCGGGCUAAUACCGCAUACGCCCUACGGGGUAAAGCAGGGGACCUUCGGGCCUUGCGCUGAUGGAUGAGCUCGCGUCGGAUUAGCUUGUUGGUGAGGUAAAGGCUCACCAAGGCGACGAUCCGUAGCUGGUCUGAGAGGAUGAUCAGCUACACCGGGACUGAGACACGGCCCCGACUCCUACGGGAGGCAGCAGUGGGGAAUCUUGGACAAUGGGGGCAACCCUGAUCCAGCAAUGCCGCGUGUGUGAAGAAGGCCUGCGGGUUGUAAAGCACUUUCAGCAGGGAGGAAGGCUUACCCCUAAUACGGGUGAGUACUUGACGUUACCUGCAGAAGAAGCACCGGCUAAUUUCGUG
RNAcentral lists this ribosomal RNA (489 nucleotides) under uncultured bacterium. Its description in RNAcentral is "bacterial SSU rRNA". It matches the Rfam family "Bacterial small subunit ribosomal RNA", at positions 29 to 507 of the family's 1533-position model. The record is from RNAcentral.